RNAcentral lists this ribosomal RNA (439 nucleotides) under uncultured bacterium. RNAcentral's name for it is "partial 16S ribosomal RNA". It matches the Rfam family "Bacterial small subunit ribosomal RNA", at positions 339 to 795 of the family's 1533-position model. The record is from RNAcentral.
CUACGGGGGGCAGCAGUGGGGAAUAUUGCACAAUGGAGGAAACUCUGAUGCAGCAACGCCGCGUGGAGGAUGACACUUUUCGGAGCGUAAACUCCUUUUAUAUAGGAAGAUAAUGACGGUACUAUAUGAAUAAGCACCGGCUAACUCCGUGCCAGCAGCCGCGGUAAUACGGAGGGUGCAAGCGUUACUCGGAAUCACUGGGCGUAAAGAGCGUGUAGGCGGGUUAAUAAGUCAGAAGUGAAAUCCUAUGGCUCAACCAUAGAACUGCUUUUGAAACUGUUAAACUAGAAUAUGGGAGAGGUAGAUGGAAUUCCUGGUGUAGGGGUAAAAUCCGUAGAGAUCAGAAGGAAUACCGAUUGCGAAGGCGAUCUACUGGAACAUUAUUGACGCUGAGACGCGAAAGCGUGGGGAGCAAACAGGAUUAGAUACCCCCGUAGUC